Molecule: ribosomal RNA, 771 nt
Filed under: uncultured archaeon
Lineage: Archaea
Description: bacterial SSU rRNA
Rfam family: Archaeal small subunit ribosomal RNA
Source: RNAcentral
GCCCUUUUCCGGUUGAUCCUGCCGGAGGCCAUUGCUAUCGGAGUCCGAUUUAGCCAUGCUAGUCGCACGGGUUUAGGCCCGUGGCGAAAAGCUCAGUAACACGUGGCCAAGCUACCCUGUGGACUAGGACACUCUCGGGAAACUGAGGCUAAUCCUGGAUACAGCUUCCAACCUGGAAUGGUGGAAGCUCGAAAUGCGUUCGCGCCACAGGAUGUGGCUGCGGCCGAUUAGGUAGACGGUGGGGUAACGGCCCACCGUGCCAGUAAUCGGUACGGGUGAUGAGAGUCAGAGCCCGGAGACGGUAUCUGAGACAAGAUACCAGGCCCUACGGGGCGCAGCAGGCGCGAAACCUUUACACUGCACGACAGUGCGAUAGGGGGACUCCGAGUGCGAGGGCAUACAGUCCUCGCUUUUCUGUACCGUAAGGUGGUACAGGAACAAGUGCUGGGCAAGACCGGUGCCAGCCGCCGCGGUAAUACCGGCAGCACGAGUGAUGGCCGAUAUUAUUGGGCCUAAAGCGUCCGUAGCCGGCCGGGCAAGUCUGUUGGGAAAUCCACGCGCCCAACGCGUGGGCGUCCAGCGGAAACUGCCUGGCUUGGGCCGGAAGACUUGAGGGGUACGUCCGGGGUAGGAGUGAAAUCCUGUAAUCCUGGACGGACCGCCGGUGGCGAAAGCGCCUCAAGAAGACGGACCCGACGGUGAGGGACGAAAGCCAGGGUCUCGAACCGGAUUAGAUACCCGGGUAGUCCUGGCCGUAAACGAUGUCUGCUA